CGCGGUCCUCGGUAGUGAUCCCCGGGAAGCUUCGUUGACUGAAGCCCGGCCCGUGGGUCUCGAUCGAUGACCGGG
Non-coding RNA from Arthrobacter sp. Soil736, 75 nucleotides. NCBI's taxonomy places the organism in Bacteria, Bacillati, Actinomycetota, Actinomycetes, Micrococcales, Micrococcaceae. The record is from Rfam.